UGUUACAAUGGCAGGUACAGAGGGGUGCUACCGGGUGACCGGAUGCCGAUCUCGAAAACCUGUCCCAGUUCGGACUGGAGUCUGCAACCCGACUCCACGAAGUUGGAUUCGCUAGUAAUCGCGCAUCAGCCAUGGCGCGGUGAAUACGUUCCCGGGCCUUGUACACACCGCCCGUCAAGCCAUGGGAGCCGGGGGCGCCUGAAGUCCGGGACCGCGAGGACCGGCCUAAGGCGAAACUGGUGACUGGGGCUAAGUCGUAACAAGGUAGC
RNAcentral lists this ribosomal RNA (269 nucleotides) under uncultured bacterium. RNAcentral's name for it is "partial 16S ribosomal RNA". It matches the Rfam family "Bacterial small subunit ribosomal RNA", at positions 1223 to 1500 of the family's 1533-position model. The record is from RNAcentral.